RNAcentral lists this ribosomal RNA (1351 nucleotides) under Salmonella enterica subsp. enterica serovar Enteritidis. Its description in RNAcentral is "partial 23S ribosomal RNA". It matches the Rfam family "Bacterial large subunit ribosomal RNA", at positions 97 to 1495 of the family's 2925-position model. The record is from RNAcentral. Lineage: Bacteria; Pseudomonadati; Pseudomonadota; Gammaproteobacteria; Enterobacterales; Enterobacteriaceae.
GUUAUAACCGGCGAUACCCGAAUGGGGAAACCCAGUGUGACUCGUCACACUAUCAUUAACUGAAUCCAUAGGUUAAUGAGGCGAACCGGGGGAACUGAAACAUCUAAGUACCCCGAGGAAAAGAAAUCAACCGAGAUUCCCCCAGUAGCGGCGAGCGAACGGGGAGGAGCCCAGAGCCUGAAUCAGCAUGUGUGUUAGUGGAAGCGUCUGGAAAGGCGCGCGAUACAGGGUGACAGCCCCGUACACAAAAGCGCAUGUGCUGUGAGCUCGAUGAGUAGGGCGGGACACGUGGUAUCCUGUCUGAAUAUGGGGGGACCAUCCUCCAAGGCUAAAUACUCCUGACUGACCGAUAGUGAACCAGUACCGUGAGGGAAAGGCGAAAAGAACCCCGGCGAGGGGAGUGAAAAAGAACCUGAAACCGUGUACGUACAAGCAGUGGGAGCACCCUUUGGGUGUGACUGCGUACCUUUUGUAUAAUGGGUCAGCGACUUAUAUUCUGUAGCAAGGUUAACCGAAUAGGGGAGCCGGAGGGAAACCGAGUCUUAACCGGGCGUUAAGUUGCAGGGUAUAGACCCGAAACCCGGUGAUCUAGCCAUGGGCAGGUUGAAGGUUGGGUAACACUAACUGGAGGACCGAACCGACUAAUGUUGAAAAAUUAGCGGAUGACCUGUGGCUGGGGGUGAAAGGCCAAUCAAACCGGGAGAUAGCUGGUUCUCCCCGAAAGCUAUUUAGGUAGCGCCUCGUGAAUUCAUCUCCGGGGGUAGAGCACUGUUUCGGCUAGGGGGCCAUCCCGGCUUACCAACCCGAUGCAAACUGCGAAUACCGGAGAAUGUUAUCACGGGAGACACACGGCGGGUGCUAACGUCCGUCGUGAAGAGGGAAACAACCCAGACCGCCAGCUAAGGUCCCAAAGUCAUGGUUAAGUGGGAAACGAUGUGGGAAGGCCCAGACAGCCAGGAUGUUGGCUUAGAAGCAGCCAUCAUUUAAAGAAAGCGUAAUAGCUCACUGGUCGAGUCGGCCUGCGCGGAAGAUGUAACGGGGCUAAACCAUGCACCGAAGCUGCGGCAGCGACACUGUGUGUUGUUGGGUAGGGGAGCGUUCUGUAAGCCUGUGAAGGUGUGUCGUGAGGCAUGCUGGAGGUAUCAGAAGUGCGAAUGCUGACAUAAGUAACGAUAAAGCGGGUGAAAAGCCCGCUCGCCGGAAGACCAAGGGUUCCUGUCCAACGUUAAUCGGGGCAGGGUGAGUCGACCCCUAAGGCGAGGCCGAAAGGCGUAGUCGAUGGGAAACGGGUUAAUAUUCCCGUACUUGGUGUUACUGCGAAGGGGGGACGGAGAAGGCUAUGUUGGCCGGG